This 460-nucleotide ribosomal RNA is filed under the name uncultured bacterium. Its description in RNAcentral is "partial 16S ribosomal RNA". It matches the Rfam family "Bacterial small subunit ribosomal RNA", at positions 338 to 795 of the family's 1533-position model. The record is from RNAcentral.
CCUACGGGAGGCAGCAGUGAGGAAUCUUGGUCAAUGGACGAGAGUCUGACCCAGCCAAGUAGCGUGAAGGAUGAAUGCCCUCUGGGUUGUAAACUUCUUUUAUAUGGGAAUAAAAUGUUCCACGUGUGGGAUUUUGUAUGUACCAUAUGAAUAAGGAUCGGCUAACUCCGUGCCAGCAGACGAGGUAAUACGGAGGAUCCGAGCGUUAUCCGGAUUUAUUGGGUUUAACGGGAGCGUAGGUGGAUUGUUAAGUUAGUUGUGAAAGUUUGCGGCUCAACCGUAAAAUUGCAGUUGAAACUGGGAGUCUUGAGUGCAGUAGAGGUGGGCGGAAUUCGUGGUGUAGCGGUGAAAUGCUUAGAUAUCACGAAGAACUCCGAUUGCGAAGGCAGCUCACUGGACUGCAACUGACACUGAGGCUCGAAAGUGUGGGUAUCAAACAGGAUUAGAUACCCCAGUAGUC